RNAcentral lists this ribosomal RNA (434 nucleotides) under uncultured bacterium. Its description in RNAcentral is "bacterial SSU rRNA". It matches the Rfam family "Bacterial small subunit ribosomal RNA", at positions 957 to 1391 of the family's 1533-position model. The record is from RNAcentral.
GAACGCGAAGAACCUUACCCGGGCUUGAAUUGCAGAGGAAGGAUUUAGAGAUAAUGACGCCCUUCGGGGUCUCUGUGAAGGUGCUGCAUGGUUGUCGUCAGCUCGUGCCGUGAGGUGUCGGCUUAAGUGCCAUAACGAGCGCAACCCCUCUCUUCAGUUGCCAUCAGGUAAUGCUGGGCACUCUGGAGACACUGCCACCGUAAGGUGUGAGGAAGGUGGGGAUGACGUCAAAUCAGCACGGCCCUUACGUCCGGGGCUACACACGUGUUACAAUGGCCGGUACAGAGGGACGGUGUAAUGCAAAUUGCAUCCAAUCUUGAAAGCCGGUCCCAGUUCGGACUGGGGUCUGCAACCCGACCCCACGAAGCUGGAUUCGCUAGUAAUCGCGCAUCAGCCAUGGCGCGGUGAAUACGUUCCCGGGUCUUGUACACACC